GCCUUCGUGGUGUAAUGGUCAGCACGCUCGGCGCAUAUUAGAGAGGUCUGAGGUUCGAAUCCUGGUAAGGGCA
Stegodyphus mimosarum is the source of this 73-nucleotide non-coding RNA. The record is from Rfam. Lineage: Eukaryota; Metazoa; Arthropoda; Arachnida; Araneae; Eresidae.